UACAGAGGGUGCAAGCGUUAAUCGGAAUUACUGGGCGUAAAGCGUGCGUAGUCGGUUAUCUAAGUCGGGUGUGAAAUCCCCGGGCUCAACCUGGGAAUUGCAUUCGAUACUGGAUAGCUAGAGUUCGGCAGAGGGAAGCGGAAUUUCGGGUGUAGCGGUGAAAUGCGUAGAUAUCCGAAGGAACAUCAGUGGCGAAGGCGGCUCACUGGCCCGGUACUGACGCUGAGGUGCGAAAGCGUGGGGAGCAAACAGG
This 253-nucleotide ribosomal RNA is filed under the name uncultured bacterium. Its description in RNAcentral is "partial 16S ribosomal RNA". It matches the Rfam family "Bacterial small subunit ribosomal RNA", at positions 524 to 776 of the family's 1533-position model. The record is from RNAcentral.